UUUAGCAUUUGCUUGAAUUAGUGCUUGCAAAUUCUUCGGACACUACACACGAAUGAAUGAAUCAUUACAUCUAUAUACACAUGCAUGAAGUUGUGAAAAUGUUGAAUCCUAUGUCAGGAAAUCCAAACUACCCAGUGGCAUUUUUUUUUUUUUACAAAAGUGAAUUAUUAAUGACUGAUCUAUAUAUUAAUGAUCUGAUUGGUCAAAAGCCAUGCAUGUUAGUGAUUACAAACUCAAAAGUGGAGUUUGUUGGUGUUGGGACCAAGUACAAAACUGAGUUGAACCAGAAUCCACACAAGGUUUGAUCAAGGAGUAACGAAUGAGUAGCUAGGAUCGGAACUGCUAAGCUAAAUAACGG
This 358-nucleotide long non-coding RNA is filed under the name Capsella rubella. Its description in RNAcentral is "long non-coding RNA (CRUB_LNC004376)". Lineage: Eukaryota; Viridiplantae; Streptophyta; Magnoliopsida; Brassicales; Brassicaceae. The record is from RNAcentral.